This is a long non-coding RNA of Gorilla gorilla gorilla (western lowland gorilla), 4260 nucleotides long. RefSeq lists it as uncharacterized. The transcript has 5 exons. The record is from RefSeq and is a predicted model, not a curated record. NCBI's taxonomy places the organism in Eukaryota, Metazoa, Chordata, Mammalia, Primates, Hominidae.
CAACUUGUAGGGAUGGUCAACCACUGAUAAUACCAGCUCCUAUUACACAUCUCUUUUAGGUGUUCUUCAAACUAAUCAACCACAAGUCAAGGUCACCUUUCAGACAUUCCAUACCACCAUGUCCUCAACUCUUGUGUUGCCUGCAAGGACCAAUCCAGAUCAGAUCCAUUCUCUGGAUGUUAUGGAGAUCUCUCAUCUUAACUCUAACACCUUUAAGGUAUCCAAGGAGAAAAUCAGGUGCAUGGAUGGCAGGUCAACUUCGGGUGGCUUCCCCCUUCACUCAGCUCUCAUUCUUCUUCCCGCUGCCAUGUGAAGAAGGACAUGUUUGCUUCCCCUUCUACCAUGAUUGUAAGUUUCCUGAGGCCUCCCCAGCCACGCUAAACUGUGAGUCACUUAAACCCCUUGCCUUUAUAAAUUACCCAGUCUCAAGUGUGUCUUUAUUAGCAGCAUGAGAACAGAUUAAUACAAUUACUUUUAUAUAGAAAAGAAAAUGGUUAUAUUUCAAUUUCAACAAUUCUUUGAAAAUAAAAUAAAAUGAGAAUGAUUUAUCAUAUAAUUUACAUGACAUAAAUAUACAUACGAUAGUGUUAAUAUACACAACUACACUUAAAUCUUGGCUUUGCCAUUUACUAGCUGUGUGAAUUACAGAAAGAUACUUAACUUUCCUGGUGUUCAAUUUUUUUCAUUUGAUAAAUAGCAAGAACACUACCUAUCUUGCAUGGAUACAGUUUGAAAUGGAAAUGUGUAUAAAAUGACAAUAAUAUCCAUCAUGUGUAUUAAUGGCUCUUACCAGAUAGUCAGUAUACGGUUGAUAUUAUUAACAUAAACAUCAGUUAUAAUUUAAAAUUAUUUUGUAUAAAUAUAUCCUCUAAAAAUUUUUUAAACUAUCAUGCAUCAAGCCAAAUGAUGCAAAAGGAGGUUAAGGAACUAUUAAAACAUUGUUUUGCUGCUAUUUCCUGGAGAAAAUAUGACUUAAUUAGUCAGACUGAAACGGAUUAUUUUAAAGUGUAAGUAAUUCGCAGGUAUUAAUAGCUAGCAUUGCCCCUAGUAUGGUCCAGAUGGUCUUAUCAGGUCUUAUUGGGUUUCUUGUGCAUUAAAAAACAGAGUUUAAUGAGGCAAUAGUACCCUAAAGCAGGUUUGCAAUAAAUUCAACAAAUAUACUGGCACCUCUCCAAGUGUGUAAUAAACAACCUCCUCUGCUCCUAGCGGCAAAAGAAAAUACUCUUGACUCCCGAGCAUCACUUGCCUUCAGUGAACAAGGCUGUUGUAAAAAUGCUUUAGAGAGCAAAUGCCUUUAAAGAACUCAAAGACUUGGACAUUAUCAUUUCCAUCUGGUGACAGAAGGUCCAAAGAAGCAUCUUUCCUCACCUAUACGUAUCACUGAGUUGUGAGAGGAAAUGAAGAACAGACAUUGGUGGGGAGACAGAAGGAAAUGUUAGCAAGUGGAGGGGUUUUAUGAAGUCAGGAGGUAAAGAGAGAAAGAGAGAGAGAGAGAGGAAAAAGGAGGAGGACAAGGAGGAGAAAAAGUGAAGAAGAAGAAAGAAGGGAGAGAGGGAGGGUGGAUAGAGAAAUGCCCUCUCUUGGUUCUCAAUGUCUCAUCCACCUCCCUCAUCCAAACCACAGACUAAAGCAGGCAAGGAAGUGGCUCCACCUUCUCCAUUCCUUCAGAGGUCUGAAAUAUAUCAAUUAGGUCCAGCAGGGUGAUUAUUUUUUAAACCUAACAUAAGUAAGCCUUUCUGUUCUACCAGACUGUGCUCCUUAAGGGUGUAGAACAUGGCUCAUUCUUCUUUGCAUCAACAAUAUUUAACACUUCUCAGAUGCAUACUAGGCAUCAAUAAAAAAACUUUCUCAUUAAAACAUUUUAGGGCUUAUAUGCUCUAUUUUUUUUCCCUGAGGUCCACUGCUUAUAUUGAACAUGAAAAACUUAGCCCACAUGUUAAUAAAAUCUUAUAUUUGGUCCUGGAUCAUAAAAAAAAAAUAAGUUAAAAGCCCAUUUUCUAUAAGGAAUUUGGGUCUUCUGCUGAUGGACAGAGACGUUCUUCACUGAGACAGACUUUGUGAAUUCGGGAGUGGUAAUCUCUACCCUCAGAGGGCAGUGGGGGUCAGUCAUUGAACUGUUAUUCUAAAAAAUAAAGACAUUAAAUAAAGUUAAAAUUAAGGACGCUUUAUGGAAUUUCAGGGUUUCGAUGAUGUGUAAAGCUAAUGGCAACAGAGCAAAAUUUACUCCUUUAAGGAGAGGAGAGCCUGAAAAUAUUUUUUAAAUAAGUAAAUAUCAAGUUAGAAAGGUUUGGAAAAUAGUUGUUAAAAUUAUAAUAAAGCUCUCUACUUUUCUUUUAUCUUUUUCUGUUUUUGGAUGUUGGUCAACUAAAUUAAUUACGUAACAAAAAUUCAAGUAGGGAUUUAAUUUGCCUCUGCUGGUAACUCCAGAUCUCUAGGGUCUCAUUUGCAGGAGUGCUCCUGAGGCACUAGGAGUGGAUGCUAAAGAAGACUUUUUCAGACCAGAAGGGGAGAAAAGGGCUGCCCAGCAUCCAUGGGUAAGAUAAGGUUGUCCCAGGUGGGGAAUAUUUUGAAAACAUCCUAAGGUGUUUUUACCUUAACACCUUUUGAUAAGAGAAUCAAGAGAAUUUGAUUCUCUUUUGAUAAGAAAAUCAAAAGAUGUAAGCUAUUGGGGAUAUUCAAGUGGGGUCAGGGAGAGUCACAUGCCUUUCCUUCAUCUUCUAGUACAGUCUUGGGUAAGGUGCUCUGAGGUCUUCAAGGCAGUGUUGUCACAUUGAAGGAGCAGACUGCAUGUUAGACACUGAAAAAGACCUCUGAUUACUCUGAGGAUGACACUGUCACCCACUCAGGGUCGAGCUGAGAAAGCCUUGUCCAUGAGUUGUGAUGUAACUAUGCUUCAUCUUCAGAAGCCGUCAUGGUGGCUACAGCCAAACAGCAAGCCCAGAGGAGCAACAGGUGGGGACAAAGACACAAACAGAGGUAGCUAUAAAAGCAACAUCCACUGAAUGAGGCCAACAAGCACCAAGGCAGCAGGAAAAUGAUUACCAAGAAGAAUGAGGUGCCAUUUCAUCAGAAGGAAGGAGAAAGGAUUGGGGUGUCAGCACCCCAGUAACUGUACUGGAAUCAUGGAGUUGGAAAGUCAUUACCUACUCAAAGAGACAAUCCAGUCUCCUGCUUCUCUGUUUAUUUAUUCAUUCAUGUUGCAAAUCCUGAGUGAGUGCCUACUGCAUACCGGCGAUGUAAGUACAAAUCCCUCUCUCUAAUGAUACUUAAAUUCUAGUGUUAAAGACAGACAUAAGAAAACAAGAAAAAGUGAAUAAAUAAUUUUCCAGUCGCGUUAAGUACAAUGAAGAAAAAAAAUAAGAAAGCAGGGUAGUGGUUAGGGAAAGGUAGGAAGGAAGGGAAAGAAAGAAAAAAAUGCGGGAUGGAGGAAGAGAAAGAUGGGGCGGGCACUCUCUUAUCCAGAGAGGGUCAGGAAGGCCUUCUCUUCGAGCAGAUACCUGUGUAUAAUGAGGGUCUGAGCCAUGCAAAGAUCAGGGAGAAGAGCUUUCCAGGCAGAGAGAACAGGAGUGCAGGCCUGAAGCUAGACCAGAGCAGCCAAGGCAGAGUGAGGAGAAAAUUGUGGGAAAUGUCGCAGUCAGGGGCUAGAUCUGCACACACACCACCCUCAGACAUUUGCAUUUCUGUGUGUGUGUGUGUGUGUGUGUGUGUGUGUGUGUGUGUGUGUGUGUGUGUGUGUUUACUUCUUUUUAAAUGAUGAGAAGCUGUUGGAGUGACAGGACUUCUUUUCAGCUGCCAAGCUUUUUGUGUUUGCACUUUUCCUUAACGCUUCUUCCAGAUUAGGUUCUCCUUAAAUUCUGUUUGCGGCUGCAAGUGAUCCUAGACACCUCUGGCUCAGCUUCCCAACUCAUGCAGGAGAGGAACCUGAAGCUUAGAUAGAUUAUGGAACUCGCUCGAGAUCAUACAAGAAGUGGCAAUGCCGGGAUUUGAGCCCACGAUUGACAAAGCUUUUAUUCUUUGCAUUCUACCAUGCUGCCUCCAAAUAGGUCAAAUGACUAGAAAAAGAGAUUUAGGUUCAUAAUUGUCACUAUGCAUUUUUCCUACUAUGGGAACAAUUAUGAACAAUUCCAUAUGUGUCUAAUUUUAUAACAAUAAAGCGCAAAAGAACAUCUGUAUCUUUUUGUUGUAGGGUAGCAGCCUUGAAAUUUGUAUCUUGGUUUAUUGUAUUAGAUAUUUCUUGAAAUAAGCAGACCUUAAUUGAAA